RNAcentral lists this ribosomal RNA (243 nucleotides) under uncultured bacterium. Its description in RNAcentral is "partial 16S ribosomal RNA". It matches the Rfam family "Bacterial small subunit ribosomal RNA", at positions 1258 to 1500 of the family's 1533-position model. The record is from RNAcentral.
UGAGGUGGAGCAAAACUCAAAAAAUAGAUCUCAGUUCGGACUGUAGGCUGCAACUCGCCUACACGAAGUUGGAAUUGCUAGUAAUCGUGGAUCAGCAUGCCACGGUGAAUACGUUCCCGGGUCUUGUACACACCGCCCGUCACACCAUGGGAGCUGGUAACACCCGAAGUCAGUAGUCUAACCGCAAGGAGGACGCUGCCGAAGGUGGGAUUAGCGACUGGGGUGAAGUCGUAACAAGGUACC